Galendromus occidentalis (western predatory mite) is the source of this 646-nucleotide long non-coding RNA. RefSeq lists it as uncharacterized. The transcript is spliced from 3 exons. The record is from RefSeq and is a predicted model, not a curated record. NCBI's taxonomy places the organism in Eukaryota, Metazoa, Arthropoda, Arachnida, Mesostigmata, Phytoseiidae.
GCUUGGCUGGUCUACCGACGUCUUCGACGAGCGUCCAAGGAAUUCCAGAUUCUAAAAUGAUAAGGGUCAUUUGUUCUGAUGAGAUCGAGACGAAUAAGGACUCGGCGCAGAUGAUUGUCAAUGUUGAUAUGGUGGACACAUUGGAUCAAAUCGGCGGGAGGAUGAAGCUCUUGGACAGCAGCGGAGUGAUGAAAACUCUUCUUCUUGCUGUGGAAGACGCGGGACGAGCGUCCAAUUUGGCGAAAAUGUUUUGGAACUGCGGUCUGCCCGUGCCUCGGCAGAUAAGGAGCUUCCUCGGCCCGGAAUUUCAGUGAAUCGCCGGACUCGGAUACCUACAUUAUCAAGCGGCGGUGGUGUGGAUGGAUACAAAGUCGAGGGCAUCGGCUUCGGAUGAGAUUUGAUUUGGUGGAAUAAAUAAGUAUGUCCUAGUUGUUAAUGUAUGAAGAAGAUGUUCCCUCGUGGGCCGUAUGUCCGAUAGUCGAUUUCUCUCCGUUAUGAUUUGUUUCCCAAGCAUUUUCCUGUAGAUGGACCUUGGCAUAUUUGUACAGAAGAUACUCUGGACGUGAACCUUAUGUUCGAGAUAUGAUCAUUUAUCCGAGCAUCAGAGAGUCCAUUUAGCCGAGUCUCAAUAAAAUAUAAUAUUAUA